UACGAAGGGGGCUAGCGUUGUUCGGAAUUACUGGGCGUAAAGCGUAUGCAGGCGGACUUUUUAGUCGGGGGUGAAAUCCCGAGGCUCAACCUCGGAACUGCCUUCGAUACUGGAAGUCUUGAGUCCGGGAGAGGUGAGUGGAACUCCGAGUGUAGAGGUGAAAUUCGUAGAUAUUCGGAAGAACACCAGUGGCGAAGGCGGCUCACUGGCCCGGUACUGACGCUGAGAUACGAAAGCGUGGGGAGCAAACAGG
This 253-nucleotide ribosomal RNA is filed under the name uncultured bacterium. RNAcentral describes it as "partial 16S ribosomal RNA". It matches the Rfam family "Bacterial small subunit ribosomal RNA", at positions 524 to 776 of the family's 1533-position model. The record is from RNAcentral.